Molecule: long non-coding RNA, 952 nt
Filed under: Helianthus annuus (common sunflower)
Lineage: Eukaryota; Viridiplantae; Streptophyta; Magnoliopsida; Asterales; Asteraceae
Description: hypothetical non coding rna
Source: RNAcentral
CCCUCUUGAAUUUUGAAUAUUUAGGCAUUUGAGUUAGGAAUUCGAUAAAAGUAAUAUUAACAUGCAAUUGUUUUAAUAAAUUUUCGAACUUUGCGAAUUGCUCAUCGGUCUUUUGAUGAAUUACCCGACCGGGGUAUGGGACCGGAGUAGUCUUCGUAGGCUCUUGAAUUGGUUGAGAAGCCUUCUCUUGUUGCGGCGUUGUUGUUGAGAGAUGUACUUGCGCCUUUGGGUUGGUUUCGGAACCCACGGUACGGUUUCUCAAUGUUAUGAGAUGUACUUGCGCCUUUGGGUUGGUUUCGGUAUUACUUGGUAACGCGCCUUGUGUUGUUGAAAUCGAUCCGAGUUUUUCUUUUCGGUGUCGGAGAUGAGGCGAGAUACAGUAUCUUCAAGCCUUUCUCGUCCACCUUGUUGUUGAGAGAAAUUUUGUGACUCGACUCUUGGUUGUUGAAAGUUUGUUCGUUGGUUUAGAUUUUGUUGGUUACUACUAUUGCCGGGUUCUCUCCAACCAAGGUUAGGGUGGUUACGCGAUCCUUGGUUGUAGGUACCCGUUGGAGGACCCGACGGCCUAGGUCUAUUAUCAAUGUAGUUUACCGACUCUGUUUGAUCAUCUAACUCUUUCAUACAACUCCAAUUUUCGUGUGGCCCAACACACCCGUCACAAGCCAUGACCGAGGCGGUUUUUGUAAUUUCUAGUUUUUUUGAUUUUUGAAGAAAGGGCUUCGAUUUAGGCUUGUAAAGAAGUGCUUUCAUCAACCUUAUGGGCACCAGGGGCAAUAGAUUUAUUGCCUCGGGGAGUGUGCCACUGAAAAUUGGUUUGAGCAAUUUCCUCAAUUUGAUUAUAUAUUUCAUUUGGGCGACGAUUACCUAAAAGUCCCUCGGAGCUAGAGUCAAGUGUUUGUCUUGUGUGUGGCAACAACCCAUUGUAGAAAGUGGAUACUCGUUGCCACACCGC